Molecule: long non-coding RNA, 1404 nt
Filed under: Homo sapiens (human)
Lineage: Eukaryota; Metazoa; Chordata; Mammalia; Primates; Hominidae
Description: non-protein coding SNHG1:6
Rfam family: Small nucleolar RNA SNORD25 (bases 243-311)
Source: RNAcentral
ACUGCUCGUGGUAAGUGGCUUCGUGGUCUUUAUAGCUGUUACUCUUUUGUACUUUGUCUUUUUCUUUUAUUUUCUUUUGAGCGAUUGUGCGAACAUAGCAUAGCACGCACUAUGCCUUCUGUGUUGUAGCUGCCUGGCCAGGGCGACUGGCGGAUAAGGUCUUGUGCGUGGCCUCGAGGCUUAAAAGUAGCAGUGGGGCUUUGUGAAGGACAAAAUGGCGAUGGCGGGCCGUGUAGGUCCCCCUUCCUAUGAUGAGGACCUUUUCACAGACCUGUACUGAGCUCCGUGAGGAUAAAUAACUCUGAGGAGAUGGGCCCUGCAAGCCUCUUGCUUAGCCGUCUGUUCAGAAAAUAGCGUUUUCGAAAUGCCCUGAGUUGACCUAAUGUCUUAUUGGGCUCCUGUCUGCAGGAUUUACGCGCACGUUGGAACCGAAGAGAGCUCUGUUGUUGCAAUGUUCAGCCCACAAGAGCUUACUGGUGAAGGAAUGGGACAAGACCCAUCUUUAUGCAAAGCCAGCGUUACAGUAAUGUUCCAGGUAUUCCUGAUGACAGUCUGCCUCUAUCUUACAGUACUACUAACCAAUAACCUGCUUGGCUCAAAGGGCCAGCACCUUCUCUCUAAAGCCCAAGAGGAGUUUGAGGAAAACUAGGUGUCUGUGUUCACUCCAGGCUGAAGUUACAGGUCUGAGCAAAUAAGGUGUAUAAAAAAUGGAAUCUGUCUUGGAGGACAUCAGAAGGUGAAUUUUCCAAGUUCUUGGACAACCUAGCUGUUGAAAAGCUUUCUGGGUUUGGGGGGUAUUUCAGAUGUACCUUAAAGUGUUAGCAGACACAGAUUAAGACACUGGGAGCCAAUGAAACAGCAGUUGAGGGUUUGCUGUGUAUCACAUUUCUGUAUUUUAUCACCCCCUUCCUGCAACAUUAUUUAUCUGGAAUCUACCUGCCCUUUUGUUUUUUAGAUACAAGGGCUUGGUUUUGUUACCCAGGCUGGUUUCAAGGCCAUAGCUUUAAGAGAUCCUCUCACCACAGAUUUCCAAAGUGCUGGGAUUGCAGGUGUGAUUCAUGGCACCCAGACUUUGCUGCCUUUCUUACAUGAUCCAGGCCCAGAACCCAAACUCAGGCACUGUAUAGAUGACCACUUUCGUAAACUACUGACCUAGCUUGUUGCCAAUUGUUGAUUGAACUUCCCAUAACUCCACUUCGUGUCUGUUCCUCUGUAUACAGCCACCUUCUGUUCCCGUCAUGAGCCUUUAGGUCUCCAUUUGCAUAUUGCAAAUACUAUGUUCCAUGUAGGUAGCUCAUUCAGGGCCUUGCUCUUCACUUCAAAAAAGGUUCCCUUGAGGACUGGCUGUCAAUUUGUGUUGCUGUGUUGGUUGUUGAUGAAAAUAAUAAAAUGAUUGAUUACAUA